CCUACGGGCGGCUGCAGUGGGGAAUAUUGGACAAUGGGCGAAAGCCUGAUCCAGCCAUGCCGCGUGUGUGAAGAAGGCCUUCGGGUUGUAAAGCACUUUCAGUGGGGAAGAAAGCCUUGGGGCUAAUACCCUCGAGGAAGGACAUCACCCACAGAAGAAGCACCGGCUAACUCCGUGCCAGCAGCCGCGGUAAUACGGAGGGUGCGAGCGUUAAUCGGAAUUACUGGGCGUAAAGCGCGCGUAGGCGGUCUGAUAAGCCGGUUGUGAAAGCCCCGGGCUCAACCUGGGAACGGCAUCCGGAACGGUGGGGCGAGAGGGCAGGAGAGGAAGGUAGAAUUCCCGGUGUAGGGGUGAAAGGCGUAGAGAUCGGGGGGAAGACCGGUGGCGAAGGGGGCAUUCGGGAAUGACACUGACGCUGAGGUGCGAAAGCUUGGUUAGCAACCAGGAUUAGAUACCCCUAGC
This 462-nucleotide ribosomal RNA is filed under the name Vreelandella stevensii. Its description in RNAcentral is "partial 16S ribosomal RNA". It matches the Rfam family "Bacterial small subunit ribosomal RNA", at positions 338 to 794 of the family's 1533-position model. The record is from RNAcentral. Lineage: Bacteria; Pseudomonadati; Pseudomonadota; Gammaproteobacteria; Oceanospirillales; Halomonadaceae.